This 475-nucleotide ribosomal RNA is filed under the name uncultured bacterium. RNAcentral's name for it is "bacterial SSU rRNA". It matches the Rfam family "Bacterial small subunit ribosomal RNA", at positions 29 to 497 of the family's 1533-position model. The record is from RNAcentral.
AUUGAACGCUGGCGGCAUGCCUUACACAUACAAGUCGAACGGCAGCGCGGGGGCAACCCUGGCGGCGAGUGGCGAACGGGUGAGUAAUAUAUCGGAACGUGCCCAGUCGUGGGGGAUAACUGCUCGAAAGAGCAGCUAAUACCGCAUACGACCUGAGGGUGAAAGCGGGGGACCGUAAGGCCUCGCGCGAUUGGAGCGGCCGAUAUCAGAUUAGGUAGUUGGUGAGGUAAAGGCUCACCAAGCCGACGAUCUGUAGCUGGUCUGAGAGGACGACCAGCCACACUGGGACUGAGACACGGCCCAGACUUCUACGGGAGGCAGCAGUCGGGAAUUUUGGACAAUGGGCGCAAGCCUGAUCCAGCAAUGCCGCGUGCAGGAAGAAGGCCUCGGUUGUAACUAGCUUUGUCAGGAGAAAGUACCUCUGGGUUAACGACCUCCGGGGGGAGUGACGGUACCUGAAGAAUAAGACACCGGC